ACGUAUCCAACCUGCCGAUGACUCGGGGAUAGCCUUUCGAAAGAAAGAUUAAUACCCGAUGGCAUAGUUCUUCCGCAUGGUAGAACUAUUAAAGAAUUUCGGUCAUCGAUGGGGAUGCGUUCCAUUAGGUUGUUGGCGGGGUAACGGCCCACCAAGCCUUCGAUGGAUAGGGGUUCUGAGAGGAAGGUCCCCCACAUUGGAACUGAGACACGGUCCAAACUCCUACGGGAGGCAGCAUG
RNAcentral lists this ribosomal RNA (239 nucleotides) under uncultured bacterium. RNAcentral's name for it is "partial 16S ribosomal RNA". It matches the Rfam family "Bacterial small subunit ribosomal RNA", at positions 115 to 353 of the family's 1533-position model. The record is from RNAcentral.